GAUGAACGCGGGCGGCGUGCCUAAUACAUGCAAGUCGAGCGAACGGACGAGAAGCUUGCUUUCUCUGAUGUUAGCGGCGGACGGGUGAGUAACACGUGGAUAACCUACCUAUAAGACUGGGAUAAACUUCGGGAAACCGUAGCUAAUACCGGAUAAUAUUUUGAACCGCAUGGUUCAAAAGUGAAAGACGGUCUUGCUGUCACUUAUAGAUGGAUCCGCGCUGCAUUAGCUAGUUGGUAAGGUAACGGCUUACCAAGGCAACGAUGCAUAGCCGACCUGAGAGGGUGAUCGGCCACACUGGAACUGAGACACGGUCCAGACUCCUACGGGAGGCAGCAGUAGGGAAUCUUCCGCAAUGGGCGAAAGCCUGACGGAGCAACGCCGCGUGAGUGAUGAAGGUCUUCGGAUCGUAAAACUCUGUUAUUAGGGAAGAACAUAUGUGUAAGUAACUGCGCACAUCUUGACGGUACCUAAUCAGAAAGCCACGGCUAACUACGUGCCAGCAGCCGCGGUGAUACGUAGGUGGCAAGCGUUAUCCGGAAUUAUUGGGCGUAAAGCGCGCGUAGGCGGUUUUUUAAGUCUGAUGUGAAAGCCCACGGCUCAACCGUGGAGGGUCAUUGGAAACUGGAAAACUUGAGUGCAGAAGAGGAAAGUGGAAUUCCAUGUGUAGCGGUGAAAUGCGCAGAGAUAUGGAGGAACACCAGUGGCGAAGGCGACUUUCUGGUCUGUAACUGACGCUGAUGUGCGAAAGCGUGGGGAUCAAACAGG
RNAcentral lists this ribosomal RNA (768 nucleotides) under Staphylococcus aureus. RNAcentral describes it as "bacterial SSU rRNA". It matches the Rfam family "Bacterial small subunit ribosomal RNA", at positions 28 to 776 of the family's 1533-position model. Lineage: Bacteria; Bacillati; Bacillota; Bacilli; Caryophanales; Staphylococcaceae. The record is from RNAcentral.